This 484-nucleotide ribosomal RNA is filed under the name uncultured bacterium. RNAcentral describes it as "partial 16S ribosomal RNA". It matches the Rfam family "Bacterial small subunit ribosomal RNA", at positions 28 to 523 of the family's 1533-position model. The record is from RNAcentral.
GACGAACGCUGGCGGCGUGCUUAACACAUGCAAGUCGAACGAUGAACCCGGAGCUUGCUCCGGCGGAUUAGUGGCGAACGGGUGAGUAACACUUGAGUAACCUGCCCUGGAAGCUGGGAUAACAGGUAGAAAUGGUAGCUAAUACCGGAUACGAGCCUCGGGGGCAUCACCAGGGGGUGGAAAGAAUUUCGGUCAAGGAUGGACUCGCGGCCUAUCAGGUAGUUGGUGAGGUAACGGCUAACCAAGGCGACCACGGGUUUCCGGCCUGAGAGGGUGACAGGCCCGUCUGGGGCUGAGACACGCCCCAGACCCCUACGGGAGGCAGGAGUGGGGAAUAUUGCACAAUGGUCGCAAGCCUGAUGCAGCAACGCCGCGUGAGGGAUGACGCCCUUCGGGUUGUAAACCUCUUUUAGUAGGGAAGAAGCGAAAGUGACGGUACCUGCAGAAAAAGCACCGGCUAACUACGUGCCAGCCGCCGCCGUAA